This 494-nucleotide ribosomal RNA is filed under the name uncultured bacterium. RNAcentral describes it as "partial 16S ribosomal RNA". It matches the Rfam family "Bacterial small subunit ribosomal RNA", at positions 28 to 507 of the family's 1533-position model. The record is from RNAcentral.
GACGAACGCUGGCGGCGUGCUUAACACAUGCAAGUCGAACGGAAAGGCCUGCUUUCCCUUGUGGAUUGCGGGUACUCGAGUGGCGAACGGGUGAGUAACACGUGAGUGAUCUGCCCCCAACUUGGGUAUAAGCCUGGGAAACUGGGUCUAAUUCCCGAUAGGACUGCAGGGUGGUGCCUGUGGUGGAAAACGAUUUUCUAGUGGUUGGGGAUGAGUUCGCGGCCUAUCAGCUUGUUGGUGGGGUAAUGGCCUACCAAGGCGGCGACGGGUAGCCGGCCUGAGAGGGUGGACGGCCACAUUGGGACUGAGAUACGGCCCAGACUCCUACGGGAGGCAGCAGUGGGGAAUAUUGCACAAUGGGCGGAAGCCUGAUGCAGCGACGCCGCGUGGGGGAUGACGGCCUUCGGGUUGUAAACUCCUUUCGACCGCGAGGAAGCCACCUGGUUGGAAGGGUGGUGACGGUAGUGGUAGAAGAAGCACCGGCUAACUACGUG